Molecule: long non-coding RNA, 2241 nt
Organism: Manis pentadactyla (Chinese pangolin)
Lineage: Eukaryota; Metazoa; Chordata; Mammalia; Pholidota; Manidae
Exons: 4
Source: RefSeq, a predicted model, not a curated record
GACAGGAUGGCUGGGAAGCGGCGGGAAUCCUUCAUCUUGUUCUCCAGCGGCAGAAUCUACAAAAACGUCAGUGUACAAAGGAAGAAGAAGAACGAGGACCGUGAAUAUAAAAGCAUCCGCUUAUUAGGAAAACAAGGCUCUGAAGAUGAAGAAACCUGCCUCAAGGAAGUGGGGCACUGCUAGGCUGCGGACUAGGGCUGUCCUCCAAGUCCAGGUACACCUCUUCCGUGCAGGCUUGCCUGAUCUCUGACAGCACCGGGCAUAUUCAUUACUCAGUAGGAAUUUAGCAUCUGUUCCCUUGAACUCUUAACUCCUUUUUUGUCCUACAUGCAUCUGUCCCCAUGCAAAUGGAAAACACUUCAGGGGGGUGCCACAUCAGGGUCACUGCUGCGCCUCUCUGCUUUCUUCUGCGUUAGGGGCAGGUUCCUGGUUGUAGCUGUUGCUCAGGAAAAUGUCUAGGGGAUUAUGUGGAGAGCAGAGAGUUGGACCUGAGUUUUCCCACACUGCAGUACAUUUCUGCUGUGUAAAUUCCCCAGGUGAAAAAUGAUCUUUUCACAAGGCUUGAUCAUACUCAGUAGUUGGCGUUCUCUCUCUCUCUUCCUCAACAAUCAAAGAGAUAAAUGGCUGUUCACAUAAAGUGGGAAGGUCCCUGGACUGGGAGUGAGGAGCAACUUGGUUUUAGCCAUAGCUGCAGCUGUUCACAGCUGGUGGCCUGGCUCAAGUCCUUUUCCGUUUUUGGAGCUUAGGCUCUGCUUCUGCAAAAUUGGAGACUGGCCUAAAAGAUUUCUAAAGGUGAUUUGAAUUCAGACACUAAUAACCAUUAGCACAUAGUAGGUGUUUAAUAAAUAUUGAACACAUAUUACCAUCAUUUAGUGGGGGAAUUAGGGUUCAAAGCGUAGUCCAUGGCCAAAGUAAGAUUCCAGAACAUUCCACCUCCAAAUUUAUUUGCUCAACCACUGCACUUUUUGCCAUGACUGUCCAAAAUUAUAAAUAUAAAGUGCUUCCUGUUCUAUUAAGAUGGUGUAAGUACACUCUACCAUGUCUCCCUCACUGAUAAAUACUAAAAGCCUUGGAAGAAUACAGAAGCAACUAUCCAUGGACUCUCAGAAGUAUGUAAUAGUGGGUGGAUUGACCAAAACUAGUAAAAAUGGCCAUUAUGACAGUAAGUUUCCAGGUUUUUUUCCUUCCUGUAUCCCCAGUUUAGACACACAGGGACCCCAAGUACUAGAAAGACGCAGAGAUAACUCUAAGAGAAACCCUCUUUCUGGCCAGAGGACAUGAAUAGGAGGCCCUGUGGGACAGAGUAUGGAAAAAAUCCCUAUGUUUUUGUUUCUUUUUAUGCCCUCAAGGCCACACACCAAAACAUGUUCUAGCAGAGCAGCAUUCUGGUGUAUCAGUGACUGUGACAGUCACAUAGGCACCUAAAAGUCUGAGCCAAACUCAUCUCUAAGCAAGGAACUAGGAAAAGGGGCCUUGGGAACCAAUGAACGUGGGGGGAAAUCAGCCCUGGUAUAUUAAAUGUAGGGUCUAGAGCAAAAUGCAAAUGCAGGGCUUCUUGGUCAAAAAUCAAAAAUUUCAAGAUGAUGAAAGCAGAGCAUUAAACUACAAGCGGGAUCUUUCCAAAAGCAUUAAACAACAAGUGGGAUCCUUCCACACAGGUUGCAUGUCUGUGAAGUUGGCCAUGGGAGGAAUCCUUAUUAUUUAUUUAUCUUUCUUCCCUCUUUUCUUUCAGUGCUUAAUUCCUGAGCCAGACGCAGUCACAGAAAGUGCAUACGAGUGUAGGGAGCCUAAAACCCUGGCUUUCCAGACACAGGACCAGAAAAAGGAGCUAAUGGGAGCUGAUUAGGAGACACAUGUUGAUAUGAAGAUAAAUGUUUAACAGAUGUAUUGGGACAAGAAUUUAACUCUGUCUCCUGACUGCUUCUCUGUUGUAAUCGACUUUUCUCCUGCUAAUGACAACUGACCCAGGAAUAGUCUAUAGUUCACCAACCAAAAUGUUUUCCACACCAAGGAUAAUAUGUUUUUAAAGCCUGGAUUGACUAAAAGUGAGUACUGGAGGAUCAACAGAAAAGAAGAGAUAUCCUGAAGAAUGAGAUUGCACAGAGACACCUUUGUGGAAGAAAGCUGCAACGAGGUCAGUUCCAGGCUGAAGAGUGAGGUGUGUACCUGCCCCAGAGUCGGCUCCAGGGGUCAGUGGGUUGUGAUAAAAGGCUCUGGCCAGUGCAGGGGUGGGUGUGUGGC